ACGACUUUAAUUGAACAGAUCUGUUCUACAGGUUGUAUAUCCUUUCUCACUGACACAAUGGAGACAUGCACAUCAAUCUGGACAAUGACCUAAUGCCAUGUGUCCAGACCAGAGUGUGAUUACUGGCUGUGGACUCAUAGGCUCCAUUAGCUAUAGAGGAAUGCUCUUACCAAGCCAUCAACGGCUGGUGAGAUGGCUGCAUGCAGUCCGACAGAUC
Molecule: small nucleolar RNA, 217 nt
Filed under: Amborella trichopoda
Lineage: Eukaryota; Viridiplantae; Streptophyta; Magnoliopsida; Amborellales; Amborellaceae
Description: snoRNA Plant_U3
Source: RNAcentral